This 432-nucleotide ribosomal RNA is filed under the name uncultured bacterium. RNAcentral describes it as "bacterial SSU rRNA". It matches the Rfam family "Bacterial small subunit ribosomal RNA", at positions 29 to 507 of the family's 1533-position model. The record is from RNAcentral.
AACGAACGCUGGCGGCAUGCCUAACACAUGCAAGUCGAACGAAGCCUUCGGGCUUAGUGGCGCACGGGUGCGUAACACGUGGGAAUCUGCCCUUCGGUUCGGAAUAACAGUUAGAAAUGACUGCUAAUACCGGAUGAUGACGUAAGUCCAAAGAUUUAUCGCCGAAGGAUGAGCCCGCGUAGGAUUAGGUAGUUGGUAGGUAAUGGCCUACCAAGCCGACGAUCCUUAGCUGGUCUGAGAGGAUGAUCAGCCACACUGGGACUGAGAUACGGCCCAGACUCCUACGGGGGCAGCAAUUAGGAAUCUUGCGCAAUGGGCGAAAGCCUGACGCAGCGACGCCGCGUGCAGGAUGACGGCCUUCGGUUGUAAACUGCUUUUAAGUAGGGAAGAAGAACUGACUGUACUUCUUGAAUAAGCCCGGCUAACUACGUG